RNAcentral lists this ribosomal RNA (555 nucleotides) under uncultured bacterium. RNAcentral's name for it is "bacterial SSU rRNA". It matches the Rfam family "Bacterial small subunit ribosomal RNA", at positions 36 to 623 of the family's 1533-position model. The record is from RNAcentral.
CUGGCGGCGUGGCUAACACAUGCAAGUCGAACGAGAAAGUGGAGCAAUCCAUGAGUAAAGUGGCGCACGGGUGAGUAACACGUGACUAACCUACCCUUGAGUGGGGAAUAACUUCGGGAAACCGAGGCUAAUACCGCAUAACACCUACGGGUCAAAGGAGCAAUUCGCUUAAGGAGGGGGUCGCGGCAGAUUAGUUAGUUGGCGGGGUAAUGGCCCACCAAGACGGUGAUCUGUAUCCGGCCUGAGAGGGCGCACGGACACACUGGAACUGAAACACGGUCCAGACUCCUACGGGAGGCAGCAGUGGGGAAUUUUGCGCAAUGGGGGAAACCCUGACGCAGCAACGCCGCGUGGAGGAUGAAGUCCCUUGGGACGUAAACUCCUUUCGAUCGGGACGAUUAUGACGGUACCGGAAGAAGAAGCCCCGGCUAACUUCGUGCCAGCAGCCGCGGUAAUACGAGGGGGGCGAGCGUUGUUCGGAAUUAUUGGGCGUAAAGGGCGCGUANGCGGUCGGAUAAGUCUUGUGUGAAAUCUUCGGGCUCAACUCGAAGUCUG